UACUGUCACCGCCACAGCUUCUGCUUUUUCGCGCGCACCGCCAUAGCGACAGCCACUUUGGCUUGGCUUUGCGCGAGGAAGCAGCGCAGCGAUCCCGUCACCGUGACCUCAUCCUCCCCCGAUCACAACACAAACCCAACUACCCAAGAGCUUGGGGAUUGGGGGAGUCAGGGGGAAAACCCUACUCCGUCUCGCCGCGACCCCACACCCAAGGCCGGCGACUCCUUCGGCUCCAUAGCGGGUAAGAAAGGGUGCACCAAGAUCGCCGGCGGAGAUCGUCGCCUUGGUCUUGACGAGGCCAAUCCGAUCCAUGCCCUGACUCUCUCUCCUCUUUCGCAGGCUGCCGUGACCCCAGGCGACCGGAACGUGAGGAGCCGGACCAGGGACACCGAGAGAGAAGCCCGCCGUGGAGACGACUGCCAAGUUCUUCGCCUGCUCCAUAUGUCGACAUCCCCUCCCUCGGUUCUGGUGCCACUCCACCGCGAGUUUGGGGACCGGUUUCCCUUUUCUGAUGACUUCGCCGGGCGAGAUUACGACGUUUGGGUAGCGUACGACAUGUCGGAGAUGGUCACUGUGCAAUUUCUGGAUCUGAGAAUUCAUCGCAUGCCCGCCAACGACGUCCUACAACUUCUUCGCCAUCUAGCGCGCAUAUGCGCUACAAGAGGUGAAGAACUGGAUGAGCUUGGUAUAGUGGAGGAGUACGACGACGACGACGACGACGACGGCGACGAGCACUAUGUGUAUGGAGGCUUGGAUAUGUUCGAGCCAGCCACCACUGAUGAAGAGGACGCCAACGCGCAGGUGGAUGCUGACGAUCUUUACUACCUGGGGGUCAGUGACGACGAGAAUGAGGAAGUGGGAAGCGACGGCGGGACUGAUGACGACGGCGGUGAUGAUGCUGGAGGCGACGGCGGACGGGCUGGACCCCUCAGGUGGAACAACCUAUGGGACGACGACCCACCACAGUGA
RNAcentral lists this long non-coding RNA (969 nucleotides) under Oryza sativa aus subgroup. RNAcentral's name for it is "lncRNA OsNaBo_03g0016220". The record is from RNAcentral. Lineage: Eukaryota; Viridiplantae; Streptophyta; Magnoliopsida; Poales; Poaceae.